This is a long non-coding RNA of Orcinus orca (killer whale), 2208 nucleotides long. RefSeq lists it as uncharacterized. The record is from RefSeq and is a predicted model, not a curated record. The transcript is spliced from 4 exons. NCBI's taxonomy places the organism in Eukaryota, Metazoa, Chordata, Mammalia, Artiodactyla, Delphinidae.
GAAGAGCCCUUCCAAGUUCCUCCAGGAGUGGGCCUUCUGUGAAAAUGUUUUGACUAGUUCCACCCAGUGAUGUCUUUAAUGAUUGUGCUCAUUGGUGGGGGCAGGAGUGGUAUGAUUUUACUUCUCUAGUGCAGGUACUAAAUGAUCACUAAAGCCAACGUGCAAGGUCUUUUUGAAAGUACAUAGAUUUAAGGUUUAAGGUGGUGAAACCGCACAACUCAGGUUGGGACUUGAACCCACUGUCUUUUAAUUGAGAUCUCAGGACUGGUCUCAGAACUUAAUGAAACUCAGGUUCUUUAUGUCUCCUCACAGAAGGAAUUCAGUGAGAGACAAAGUGAUAGGUAAGAAGUGGAUUUAUUUAGAGAGAUCCACAUUCCGUAGGCAGAAUGCGAUCAUCUCAAAAGGCAAGAGCGGCCCCAGGGCAUGGGGUCACUUCAGAAAGUCAGAGUGGCCAAGGGAGAAAAACACUCGUCAGAGUGUGGACCAUUUCAGAAGGCAAGAGGCCCCGAAAUAUGGGGUGGUUAGUUUUUAUGGGCGAGGUAAUUUUUUGGGGGAGGCCAUGCCCCAUGGCUUGAGGGAUCUUAGUUACCCCCACCAGGUAUCAAACCCAAGCCAUGGCAGUGAAAGCGCUGAGUCCUAACCACAGGACCGCCAGGGAAUUCCCUGGGGUGGGUAAUGUCAUAGGCUAAUGAGUGGGAGGAUUAUUCCAACUAUUUGGGGGGAGGGGCGGGGAUUUCCAGGGAUUGGGCCACUGCCCACUUUUCGGCCUUUUAUGGUUAGCCUCGGAACUGUCAUGGCACUGGUGGGCGUGUCGUUUAGCUGAUGUAUGAUAAUGAAUGUCCAAUGAGGCUCAAGGGCCACAGGAAGUAGAACCUUCCGCCAUCUUAGACCUAGUCGGUUCUAACCAGUUUCCUCUAUGUCGUGCCCUGCCCCCUUCCCUCCAGUUUCAGUGGUAUUAAGAGUAAACGCUGGAGUUUUGCAUGUGACUGCUACCUUGUACUCUCACCUUUCCGACUAACUGAUAAAUCUUCAUUGACACAUCAGGAAAUAACAACUUGCUCAGCACAGUCUGGCCCUCUAAAUGCCACACCACACCGGUACACACUGCCCUUUUUAUAUUUAUCUCUCAGGUGAUUCCCAAGUGCAGCCAAGUGUGAGAAGCAGAAGCGUGAAAUCAUCCUCCAUAAGUGACUCCCAGGAAAAAUUUGCCGAUCCUUCAGAGAAUCUAAAACUGAGGUUCCGUGUCCCAGUAAUUGGAAGAGAUGUGCCGUAUGGGUUAAGACUACAAGGGCAGAGAAACAACAAUGACAAAUAAGAAGCAAAAACCUGAAGUCGCAGAGUUUGAUGCUCCAAAUGGCAACCACCCACUGGUGUUUUUCACAGGAAAACAUGCAUGCAGCGUGCUCCAUGGAGAGAAACAGCAGGGGUUUGUUUAAUUAAUGAGGAGCAGCAGUUUCUCUACUCAACGACAGAAAGCCCAGCUUGUUCUAAAUAUAAAAGUCACCCUUAAACUCCUUGAAAAUCACUUCUUUCAGUAGUCAACAUCUGAGUCUAUAAUCCUCUCUGGAGUGCAACUUUUUUUUUUUUUUUUCCCUUGCGGUACGCGGACCUCUCACUGUUGUGGCCUCUCCCGUUGCGGAGCACAGGCUCCGGACGCGCAGGCCCAGCGGUCAUGGCUCACGGGCCCAGCCGCUCCGCGGCAUAUGGGAUCCUUCCGGACCGGGGCACGAACCCGCGUCCCCUGCAUCGGCAGGCGGACUGUCAACCACUGCGCCACCAGGGAAGCCCUUUUUUUUUUUUUUAAUGUAAGAAACCAUAGAGAAAAAUAUUGUAAAGAGAUUGGUUCCAAAGAACUCUGCCACUGAUUUACUGUCUAAGAAAUAAAUGGAGGGAGAGUCGUGAAGAUUAACCCAGCUUCUCAUGGAUGAUGGAUCCUAGAUACUCAAAUAAUUCCUCCUAUCAACUAUCCUAUUUUAGCAAGAAAAUACUGCGAGUGAAAGGUAUGGGUAAGUGACAUGAAUAACAUUUUCUUCCCAAAUUUGUCUUAACUGAAAUGUCUGAGGGAAACGCAUAAUUUAGAUAGUGGUUCAUAAACCUUCGUAAAAUAAAGAACCCUAUGCUAUGAUUAUUCAGCCUUGUGUGUUUUCCCCCCUCUUUUUCUUGUCCCAUUAAUUGAACUCUUGCUGUGUUCAGAUGCCCCCUGGAAUG